GGCCGAGUGGCGGAAUGGCAGACGCUCGGGAUUUAAAAUCCCGUGCCCGUAAUUGGGCGUGUGGGUUCGACUCCCACCUUGGCCA
This 85-nucleotide transfer RNA is filed under the name Planctomycetes bacterium HGW-Planctomycetes-1. RNAcentral's name for it is "tRNA-Leu". It matches the Rfam family "tRNA". From Rfam's summary of the family: Transfer RNA (tRNA) molecules are approximately 80 nucleotides in length. Their secondary structure includes four short double-helical elements and three loops (D, anti-codon, and T loops). The record is from RNAcentral. Lineage: Bacteria; Pseudomonadati; Planctomycetota.